Molecule: long non-coding RNA, 1563 nt
Organism: Mauremys reevesii (Reeves's turtle)
Lineage: Eukaryota; Metazoa; Chordata; Testudines; Geoemydidae
Exons: 3
Source: RefSeq, a predicted model, not a curated record
UUGCGUAGCAGGGUUAGGUGGGUUUCCGUGCUAAGCACAGCAAUUGCGCACGGUCCCUUACGUAACUGUCAGCUGGGGAUUCCCUAGAGGGGGUCACUGUAUUCAACCAUUACACAGACCCCUGCCGCCGUUCCAACGCGCCUGGGCUGCCGUUGCCGCAGCUACUGAGGCUGCGGCUGCAGCUACAACGGCGUCUCCUCACAAAAUGGCGGCGCCCAUGGAAGCGGCAGCAGCCCCAUUUUGUGCCCACAGAGCUGUCAACAAAACACGGGACUUGGCCGGGGCAGAGACGCAGAAGGCGGCGGCGGCGAAGCGACGUUACGGGUAGCGAGGGACUUCACCAGCCCCCCGCCCCCGAGAAGAGACUUUCUAUAAAGCGUGCGCGCAUUGCGCGGGGGAGGCGAGCAGCGGGCGAAGCGGCGAUUUGAGCGCUGGGACCAGCCGGCAGCGAGAGCUCUGCGGGGACCUUCCGGAGCUGCGGCUCCGUGGUCUGGGAGAUGGUCCUGCCGGUGCGAUCCGGGAUGCUCGACAGCAAGGCGCUGCCCUGAUCUCGCCGGCGGGGCCGGGGAGGUUCCCCGUGGGGGAUAGGUCUCGGGCACUGGGUGUGCACUGCGAGCGGCAGUGGGGAUGGGAGCGCAUUUGCUGUCUCCUCCUGGAGACCUUGUUCCGGGCUCGCUCCUUGCUCUUAAACCUCUCUACUCUUGAGCUGGUGGUUGGCAGCCCAGUUUAUGUAACUUUAUUGCUGUAGGAAUCUAGCAAACCUGCAAGGAGCUGCAGGAAGAUCUGGGUUCUUAGUUUAGUUAAUUAGGUCAAUUUCAGCACUUAAUUACUGUUUGCUUCUUUUUAGUGCGUGCCUUUGGAAUCGGCCUAUUAAGUUGAUGCUUCAGUUUACAUUAGCUAACAGCAAGCUCCUUACCUUACCUCAAAGGCUGCAUGGAGGGGAGGGGGAAGAGAAGAGCAAAGGGCCCAGAACUGCAGCUGGGAGUUCCUGGGCUUUCACUCCUCACUCCUAGUGAACGAAAAGGCAAGUCAGGCAGCAUUUCAAGCCUUCCCCACAGUCAUUGCAGUGAGAGGAAGAGGAGGAACUGUUAUGCUUUUCUGUCUCAAGGGGAUUUUGGUCUGUUUUUCCCUGACCCUUUCUUUCUUUCUUUCUUUCUAUUUAUUUAUUUAUUCCUCUUCUGUCAUGGGGUGUACUCACCCUUCACUGAACAAAGAAGGGGCUAAGGAAGCCAUGUUCCCUCGCCCCUGCUGGGCAUGCUCUAACUGGAGAAGCACUAUAAAAGGAAGCAGCUCAGCUCAGUCAGGCCUGACCAUUGAGAAGGGAGGACACACAUUACCAGCUCCAGCCUGGGACCUGCUGAAGCCCCAGAUUGUGGAAGCCAAACCUGCGAGAUCUGGGCUGUUACCCAGCUACCUGAAGACACCCAAGGGAGGGCAGAGCUACUGAGAGCAGCAUAGGCUGAGGAACUUGUAGACCCUGGAGUGGCCAAGACCGGUGCUUAAGGAGACAGAGUAGGAGGUAGCCAAGGGGGACUAUACAUUGAUAUGGUUGCAGAACCAAAA